Molecule: ribosomal RNA, 87 nt
Filed under: Diodia virginiana
Lineage: Eukaryota; Viridiplantae; Streptophyta; Magnoliopsida; Gentianales; Rubiaceae
Description: partial 5.8S ribosomal RNA
Rfam family: 5.8S ribosomal RNA
About the family: 5.8S ribosomal RNA (5.8S rRNA) is a component of the large subunit of the eukaryotic ribosome. It is transcribed by RNA polymerase I as part of the 45S precursor that also contains 18S and 28S rRNA.
Source: RNAcentral
UGCAGAAUCCCGUGAACCAUCGAGUUUUUGAACGCAAGUUGCGCCCGAAGCCAUCAGGCUGAGGGCACGUCUGCCUGGGCGUCACGC